Molecule: long non-coding RNA, 1281 nt
Organism: Artibeus jamaicensis (Jamaican fruit-eating bat)
Lineage: Eukaryota; Metazoa; Chordata; Mammalia; Chiroptera; Phyllostomidae
Exons: 3
Source: RefSeq, a predicted model, not a curated record
GUCACGGCCUCGGAGAACCCGCAGUAGUUCCCCGGUGCUCUCAGAAUAAAGGCCCAUCUCCCGACGAGGCCCCAUUCGCUCUGGCCGGCCCCUGCGCCCCUCCCGCCGCCCUUCCUGCCUGGGCUCCCAAUUUACUCUGUGGAGCAGGCAGCAGUGCGUUUUGGGCAGAGGGGUUGGGCAGCUUAAUUCUUCCCUCCCCAGCAGCCUAACAACUGCUGAGUGCCAAUGUGUGUUCCUUCCUCCCACAACUGUUUACUCAGCGCCUGCAUUCGUGUGUUAGGCUCCAGGAAAAGUUAGAUAGUAAAACAACCCUUCAAAUCACUAGCUAGUACAACCUGAGAGGCCCCGUGCUGUAUUCACACAGCAGAUGUGGCAUUCGCACCCAGGCUCCAUAGAUCACUAACCACUGGACAUCCUAAAAGCCCCGAUGCAACCAGAAGGUGCCAAGGAUGCAGAUAUGAAGAUACGGAACAGACAUGGGUCCCGCCCUCUGAGACCUUACAACCAGUGGGCAAGACAGCCGCUGAUCCUCAAGUACAUGACAAUAUAGUGGACUCAGUCUCCCGGAAUAGUCAGUGGCAGCCUCCUGGAGGAGGUGGCCUCUGAUGAUGCCUCCAAAGGCCCCCUGCGUCUGAACAGCGACCCAGCUACUUGCUGACUACGUGACUUUGGGCAAAGCAGAUCAGUGCCUUGCCUCAGCUUCCAGGUCAGCAAAGUGGGGGCGAUGCCGGACCAGCACACCUCAGACGGCUGUGUGAGGGCGGAGGGGUGAAACACCGAGAAGGGCCGGAGACAAUGCCUGGCGCAGGUGAGGUGCUCAAUCCGUGUUCACCGUUGUUCUUGUCAGAGUGACGAGGAGAAAAAGAAGCCAGAGCAGAGCCUGCCCCUUGGCCUGUUUGCCAGCUUGUGAAGAGGGGCGGAGACUGAAGACGGGAAAGGACGGAGCAGGUGGGGGUGGGCGCCAAGACAUUCGGGAGAUCUGGGGGGAGGGGAUGUGGUACUUUUCUUGCAACUUUUCUGUGAGUCUGAAAUUAUGUGAAAACUAAGAGUUAAAGAAAGCAGGGCAUUGCCCUGAGGCCCAAGAGAGAUGACAAGUGUGAAGGUUGCUGUCUGGCACUCAGCCCCUGCCCGAGCUGUCCCGCUGUCAGGAGCUGUCCCGCUGUCAGGAGCCGCUCUGUGUCAGGCCUUGGGGAGGGGCCCGGAGGCCCCCGAAUGAUACAAACUCCGGCCCUCGAUCCAGGGCCUUCCUGAGUAUGGGCCCCAAUACAAGUUCGGCUCUCA